Molecule: ribosomal RNA, 365 nt
Filed under: Candidatus Kaiserbacteria bacterium
Lineage: Bacteria; Candidatus Kaiseribacteriota
Description: partial 16S ribosomal RNA
Rfam family: Bacterial small subunit ribosomal RNA
Source: RNAcentral
UUAAAUUAGAGUUUGAUCCUAGCUCAGGAUGAAUGCUGGCGGCGUGGAUGAGGCAUGCAAGUCGAAUGCUGCACCUUUCAGUCUUUGUUUUACAAGACGGAAAUGAAGUUUGAAAGGUGCAGCAUGGCAGACGAGGUAGGAACACGUAGGUACGUACCCAAGAGUCAGGGAUAACCCGGCGAAAGUCGGAAUAAUACUUGAUGGUCCCAGCUCCAGUUUUAGUUGUCAUUUAUAUUCUUUCGUGAAAAACAUAAAUAAUUUUUGUUUAUUACACUUGUAAAUAAAUGGUUACCAAAACUGGGGCUGGGUAAAGAUUUAUCGCUCUUGGAACGGCCUGCGGUCUAUCAGCUUGUUGGUAAGGUAAC